UACGUAGGGUGCGAGCGUUACUCGGAAUUACUGGGCGUAAAGCGUGCGCAGGCGGUUUUGUAAGCCAGAUGUGAAAUCCCCGGGCUUAACCUGGGAAUGGCAUUUGGGACUGCAAGGCUAGAGUGUGGCAGAGGAGACUGGAAUUCCUGGUGUAGCAGUGAAAUGCGUAGAUAUCAGGAGGAAUACCGAUGGCGAAGGCAGGUCUCUGGGCUAACACUGACGCUCAUGCACGAAAGCGUGGGGAGCAAACAGG
Molecule: ribosomal RNA, 253 nt
Filed under: uncultured bacterium
Lineage: Bacteria
Description: partial 16S ribosomal RNA
Rfam family: Bacterial small subunit ribosomal RNA
Source: RNAcentral